UACCUUUGGUGUCUUCAUCCUCAAUGGUGGUGUUUGUGCUCUCUGAAGAUUCCUGGAGAAAGAACGGAGAGGACAGAAGCAAAAUAAGAUGCACCCAAAUGGCUUCCCCCCCCAGAAAACCGGUAACCCAUCACCCAGGUUCUACCUCAACAGAACCAAACACUGCAAAGGGAUGAAAACCAGGUUUUCAGUUGAGCAGAAGAUAGUUCAUCAGGCCACCAUGGGAGACUCAGACUCAAAUAAAACAGCAAUGACCUAUCUGAAAAGAAAAGGUGGCAGCUGGGCCCCUCGCCACUGCUCAGAGGCUCAGUCUAAACUGAUGUCCACAGGAGCCAAUCAAAGAAAGAGUCCUCCUUGCUCCCACUCCCCAUCCCAUCUCCCUCUCUUCCAUAUUAAGUGUCUUUCAGUUUGUCUUACCUGUCACAGCCCCCUUUACAGUAUUAAGAAAUGCCCUAGAGCCAAUUCAAAUUGUUGGGCAGGGGGAUGUGGUAAAGCUCUCUUGGCCGAUCCAUAACACCUCCAAAUUCACUCGGGUGUUGAUUUGUUUGGAAGUGCUUCCGUGUCAAGAUAUUCCUUCACACAGAGAUGACAAGCCAGGAAGAAGGCCUGCCUGAUUUCUGAGGCACACUGUGGCAUAAUUCACUCCCACACAAGGACCAGAGGAGCAUCAACCUCCAGAUUUCUGAAUCAGUUGGACUUGUGAGUUGCUGUCCUCUUGUGGGGCUGUUUCACCAUGGCCUCCAAACAUUUGGAUUGGCUCUAUUUCCCCGAAAUGACCGUAGCAUAGUAACAGUAAGACGGUAGGAGAAAGGCACAAGCUUUUUUCCUCCUCUUUAUGAAAAGAAAGCAGGAAUGGGAAGAGAUUAUGAGGAUAUGAGUUAGCCAAGCAAAUUGAACAUGAGUCAAGGCAUCCAUUACUCUAAGCAGCAAACUUUGCUUAGGUAAAGGUAUUUGCUUUUCCUUUUUUGCUUUCAGAAUGUGGAAAUGUAUUUCAUGAUGAGAAGAGGAUGGUGCAAGAGAUCCACUAAUGCAAGGCCUUAACACAAAGGGCCUGGGCCACGCAGGGACCCAUGACCACACAGUCCACCAGCCCAAACAUUCCUGCCUUCUUGAGUACAGGCAAGCUGGUGGCUCUAUGAGCCCAGGACUUACCUUGACGCCAUCGUUCUUCUUGUUGCCACCACUUUUCCCUCC
Podarcis muralis (Common wall lizard) is the source of this 1194-nucleotide non-coding RNA. Lineage: Eukaryota; Metazoa; Chordata; Lepidosauria; Squamata; Lacertidae. The record is from RefSeq and is a predicted model, not a curated record.